CCUACGUGAGGCAGCAGUGAGGAAUAUUGGUCAAUGGGCGGAAGCCUGAACCAGCCAAGUAGCGUGCAGGAUGACGGCCCUACGGGUUGUAAACUGCUUUUAUACGGGAAUAACGCGCCUUACGUGUAGGUCUUUGCAUGUACCGUAUGAAUAAGGACCGGCUAAUUCCGUGCCAGCAGCCGCGGUAAUACGGAAGGUCCGGGCGUUAUCCGGAUUUAUUGGGUUUAACGGGAGCGUAAGCCGCAUGUAACACGUGCUGUGAAAUGUCCGGAUUCAACCCGGGCCUUGCAGCGCGAACUGUCGUGCUUGAGUCAGCGGCAAGCAGGCGGAAUUCGUCGUGUAGCGGUGAAAUGCUUAGAUAUGACGAAGAACCCCGAUUGCGAAGGCAGCUUGCUGCAGCGGAACUGACGCUGAUGCUCGAAAGCGCGGGUAUCGAACAGGAUUAGAUACCCCUGUAGUC
RNAcentral lists this ribosomal RNA (460 nucleotides) under uncultured bacterium. RNAcentral describes it as "partial 16S ribosomal RNA". It matches the Rfam family "Bacterial small subunit ribosomal RNA", at positions 338 to 795 of the family's 1533-position model. The record is from RNAcentral.